CCCGGUGCCCGCCCACUGGCAUUCACGCACUUCCGUGUAUACUAACGCCCCACGGCAGCACGGACAGCCACGUAUAAUCUUCACGCGGACAGAUACGCCGUUCGCAACCUAUGACGGCACAGUAGCCUGCUUCCCUGUCUUCUCCCUCGCAGGAGCUGCAAGUUACGCUUAAGUGAUGCAGACUUUGAUGGAAUCCAUGAGUGCAGGUUUACAGGUCGACCUGAAGACAUCAGGCCAUAACUCAACAUGGACGAUAUGUGAACACUGAGGACAAUUCUUCUUUAAAAAACAUUUGGUGUGAAUGAUGUUUCAAAUAUCUGUUGUAUGCCCUCGUUUCGUUAAGUUUUAAAAUGAUGAUUGUCCAAAAACUACAGAGAUAAGGAUCUAAAACUGCAAUCCCCUUUAAGUUUCGUUCUACAGCUUGCAGACAUGAAAGAAAUGUUCAUUUUAGAUGUGUGCAUUUUCACUUCAGUCAGAAAUGUAAUCUGGACCCUUUAAUUGGAAAAUUAACGAAAGAGGUCAGAAAGACUUGCUUGGCAUUUGCUGAGCACAUAUUCGUUAUUUGGACUAUGUUUAUCUUUUGUUUUAAUCCAUAAACAUAUAGACCAUAUAGAUAUGUUGUAGACUACAAAAAUGUCAUUGUGCUUCAA
Periophthalmus magnuspinnatus is the source of this 650-nucleotide long non-coding RNA. RefSeq lists it as uncharacterized. NCBI's taxonomy places the organism in Eukaryota, Metazoa, Chordata, Actinopteri, Gobiiformes, Gobiidae. The record is from RefSeq and is a predicted model, not a curated record. The transcript has 4 exons.